CAGCAGCCGCGGGAAUACGUAGGUGGCGAGCGUUGUCCGGAAUUAUUGGGCGUAGAGGGAGCGCAGGCGGACAUAUAAGUCCAUCUUAAAAGUGCGGGGCUCAACCCCGUGAGGGGAUGGAAACUGUAUGCCUUGAGUGCAGGAGAGGAAAGCGGAAUUCCCAGUGUAGCGGUGAAAUGCGUAGAUAUUGGGAGGAACACCAGCGGCGAAGGCGGCUUUCUGGACUGUAACUGACGCUGAGGCUCGAAAGCCAGGGGAGCGAACGGGAUUAGAUACCCCUGUAGUCCUGUCUCUUAUACAC
RNAcentral lists this ribosomal RNA (301 nucleotides) under uncultured bacterium. Its description in RNAcentral is "partial 16S ribosomal RNA". It matches the Rfam family "Bacterial small subunit ribosomal RNA", at positions 509 to 810 of the family's 1533-position model. The record is from RNAcentral.